Molecule: long non-coding RNA, 550 nt
Filed under: Equus asinus (donkey)
Lineage: Eukaryota; Metazoa; Chordata; Mammalia; Perissodactyla; Equidae
Description: lncRNA (ENSEASG00005035026.1)
Source: RNAcentral
CGCCAAUCCUCCUCUUCUUGCUGAGGAAGACUGGCCCUGAGCUAACAUCCAUGCCCAUGUGUCUGUGUGUCCCUGCUGCAGUAAAAGUUCCCUUUUCUUUCCUGGGAAAAGAGAUGGAAACGCAUCAAGGAGGAAUGAAAGGCUGUUGGACAGAUCUUCUGGGACUGCGUUAGCCAUGGGGUUCUUGGAGAAAGAGAGAGAUGGACUGUGGCGGAUGACAAAGGAUCCACUUCCUGACAACCUGGGAGAUUGGGGCUGGAGCCACUUCUAUUUUCACUUCAGAAUCUAUUGUCAGGCUCAUUUUUAUCAAUCUGGUAGGAGUGAAGUGAUAUCUAGUAAGCAAAUGGGGAUCUCAGUCCUGUACCCACAAGGAAACAAAUUCUGCCACAACCAUGUCAGCUUGAAAGAGGACCAUGAGCUCCAGAAUGAAACGCAGCCUGCCUAACACCAUGACUGUACCUUGUGAGACUCUGAGCAGAGGACCCAGGAAAGCCAUGCCUGCAUCCUGACCCCCCAGAAAUGGAGAUAAUAAAUGUAUAUUGUUUUAAGC